GUUUUAAGAAUAUUCCAGUUUGAUAAAUCAGUAUUGCUUUGGUGUAAUUCAGUCAACGGAAUUAUGAACCAUAAAGGAGUUUGUGUUAAAACAUGUUAAAUCCCAUUAAACAUAAGUGCAUUAUUAGUGUGACAGGAGGUUGUCUCCCUCCUGGCCGCUGUUGGACGCCGUGCCAGCCGUGCGAGUACCGUAAUUGCUGGGCGGUACCAUGCGCCCUUUAUAUUCAGGUGUGCAGCGGUGGAGCUUCCUGUCCUCCGCUCCCUGCUUGCUUCCCUGGUGGCUGUGGUUUGGCAUGACGGCGUUGGUGGACGCAGCCGUUCUCUGGUGUAUACAGCUGUUGUGAUUGCCGUCAAGGCAUGCUGUCUGAAUACCGUGGCUGAGUGCUGGGGUGAAUUCCCCGGGGUGAAGCGGGGAUCUGCUGAGCCCUGCUGGGCAUAGGAUCACAGGCUCGCUCUGGGUGGGUGUGGGUGUGUGCGCGUGUGUGUGAGCCGUAUUCUUGUGGCUCACACCCUCCAGUUGCCAGUUAACAGCCCGGCAUAAUCGGACUGCCACCAUCACUUCAAGCUGAGCUGCUGUUUUGGUUCUCUUUAAUAUUUGUUUGGUGAACUGUUUAUGUUUUUUGGAUUCUGUUGUUUGCGGCGGCUUGGAGCGGACUUCUCAGCCCAGUACGGCUGAGUGCCGUCUGCGUCCGCUCCGUGUAGAGGCUGGUUGUGUUGCUGCUGUGCCAGAACUUGUACAGCUGCAAGGGCUACUUCACUUGAUGGUGUUUUGUUUUCUUUGUUAUUUUGAAAUUAAUUCAGGUAUUUCCUUUUGGUGUCUUGGUUUGCUUUGUUGCAUUAGUUUAAUUGUGUUUUUGUUAUUUUCUUUGUGACUUUAUUUAGCCUUAUGUAUUGAUUUAAUUCAUCAUUUAUUGUUCUUUGGUUUUGUUUUCUUUUGUCCACACCAGUUAUGGUUAGUUUGGCCGCGUUUUAUUAAUCUUUGUCUCUGUCUUCUGUGUACAGGUGCUGUGGUUUACUGUGGCAGUUAUUUCCUGCUGGUGGUGUCUUCUUCACGGUCCCCCCCUUUCUUUUGGUUUUGUGUGUGUAUUAUUUGCAGUGUCACGGGUGAUUCAUUUGAGGAUUCCUCUCCCCUUUUUGGUUGUCCUGCCGCAGGGUAAGCCCCAGCCUGGGUUUUUUUUUUUUUUUUUUAUUCCUUGUUGCCCAUUCUUUCUUUUAGUUAGUAUAUGUUAACUGGUGUGUGACAUUAUUUCCUUCCUUACAAAUUGUUAAUAAACAUUGUUAAAUUUGAACACGUCUCGCCCCCCUGUGUUAAUGGAACCUGUUGAGCCUUAAUUGGUUUAGUGACAGUGAAACACACCUGAGCUAGGAUUUCCUGGGUGCAAGUCCCAGGUGGCGUUGUCAGGACCAUAA
Amphiprion ocellaris (clown anemonefish) is the source of this 1409-nucleotide long non-coding RNA. The record is from Ensembl. NCBI's taxonomy places the organism in Eukaryota, Metazoa, Chordata, Actinopteri, Pomacentridae.